UACGAAGGGGGGCUAGCGUUGCUCGGAAUUACUGGGCGUAAAGGGCGCGUAGGCGGCACUGUUAGUCAGGCGUGAAAGUCCUGGGCUCAACCUGGGAACUGCGCUUGAUACGGCAGAGCUAGAGGAUGGAAGAGGCUCGCGGAAUUCCCAGUGUAGAGGUGAAAUUCGUAGAUAUUGGGAAGAACACCGGUGGCGAAGGCGGCGAGCUGGUCCAUUACUGACGCUGAGGCGCGACAGCGUGGGGAGCGAACAGG
RNAcentral lists this ribosomal RNA (254 nucleotides) under uncultured bacterium. RNAcentral's name for it is "partial 16S ribosomal RNA". It matches the Rfam family "Bacterial small subunit ribosomal RNA", at positions 524 to 776 of the family's 1533-position model. The record is from RNAcentral.